AUACGUAGGUGACAAGCGUUAUCCGGAUUUACUGGGCGUAAAGGGCGUGUAGGCGGUCUUGCAAGUCAGAAGUGAAAUUCCUGAGCUCAACUCGGGCGCUGCUUCUGAAACUGCAGGACUUGAGUGCUGGAGGGGAUAGCGGAAUUCCUAGUGGAGCGGUAAAAUGCGCAGAUAUUAGGAAGAACACCGGUGGCGAAGGCGGCUAUCUGGACAGUAACUGACGCUGAGGCGCGAAAGCGUGGGGAGCAAACAGGAUUAGAUACCCUGGUAGUCCACGCUGUAAACGAUGAUUACUAGGUGUGGGGGGACUGACCCCUUCCGUGCCGCAGUUAACACAAUAAGUAAUCCACCUGGGGAGUACGGCCGCAAGGUUGAAACUCAAAUGAAUUGACGGGG
This 396-nucleotide ribosomal RNA is filed under the name uncultured bacterium. RNAcentral describes it as "partial 16S ribosomal RNA". It matches the Rfam family "Bacterial small subunit ribosomal RNA", at positions 523 to 918 of the family's 1533-position model. The record is from RNAcentral.